Molecule: ribosomal RNA, 466 nt
Filed under: uncultured bacterium
Lineage: Bacteria
Description: partial 16S ribosomal RNA
Rfam family: Bacterial small subunit ribosomal RNA
Source: RNAcentral
GAUGAACGCUGGCGGCGUGCUUAACACAUGCAAGUCGAACGAUGAAGCCCAGCUUGCUGGGUGGAUUAGUGGCGAGCGGGUGAGUAACACGUGAGUAACCUGCCCUUAACUCUGGGAUAAGCCUGGGAAACUGGGUCUAAUACCGGAUAGGAGCGUCCACCGCAUGGUGGGUGUUGGAAAGAUGUAUCGGUUUUGGAUGGACUCGCGGCCUAUCAGCUUGUUGGUGAGGUAAGGGCACACCAAGGCGACGGCGGGUAGCCGGCCUGAGAGGGUGACCGGCCACACUGGGACUGAGACACGGCACAGACUCCUCCGGGAGGCAGCAGUGGGGAAUAUUGCACAAUGGGCGCAAGCCUGAUGCAGCGACGCCGCGUGAGGGAUGACGGCCUUCGGGUUGUAAACCUCUUUCAGUAGGGAAGAAGCGAAAGUGACGGUACCUGAAGAAGAAGCACCGGCUAACUACGUG